GCCUGAGUGGCUCAGUGGUUGAGCGUCUGCCUGUGGCUCAGGGUGUGAUCCUGGUCCUGGGAUCGAGUCCCACAUCGGGCU
This is a non-coding RNA of Canis lupus familiaris (dog), 81 nucleotides long. The record is from Rfam. NCBI's taxonomy places the organism in Eukaryota, Metazoa, Chordata, Mammalia, Carnivora, Canidae.